AAACAGGGAUUCUCUGUAUAGCCCUGCUGUCCUGGAACUCAUGCUGCAGAUGAGGCUGACCCUUGAAGUGAGAGAGCUGCUUGCCCCUGCCUUCUUACUGCUGAGAUUAAAGGUCUGUGUAUCAUUUUUGAGAUAAACUCAGUGUAAACUAUAAGGCAAAGACAUGUUCGAAUUUAAUCUACAUAUAACACCCAGCAUGGAGAGAAUCAGAAACCAAGAGCAUGGUGUACUCAGUCUAACCCACAGGUUAUGGGCCAGAGCUUCAUAAUGAAAUAGUGAAAUGAGAAUGUAUGUUUUUUAUCAAGGAGUUCAUUGUCCUUUCUGGUACACUACACCACCCAGUGCCUAAUCUGUCUAAACAGGAGGCAGGGCUGACACAGCGACCUCCUCAUGUGGAAUCACCCGGAACCAUUUCUGUUCCAGCUCUUCUGUUUUUUGGCAAGUGCAUCUAAAAAUUGAGGAUGAAAGUCUAGGUGACUUUCUGGUGGCUGUGCAGAUGAGAAGUCGGACAGUGGCACUGCAGUUUGCUCUGAUUGACUCUGGAGCCUGUGUUUGAAGCUACAGCAAUACAACAGUCUGCUCCAGCGCUGAGCUUGUAGGAAGGCGACCACUCCAGGCCGACUCAAUGGCUUUAGCCUCCAGAGUUAUCGUCGUUUGGCAGGAAGUCUUAAAGAACCCCACAGCGUGCCCUUCCGCCCCUGGCACAUCAUAAGCUAUUUUGGGAUGAGUCAUCGGAAUUCUGUGGUUUGCAUAUCCUGAAGGGGAAGAGAAGACACUGUAUGGCUAACAUUUAUUUGAAAUAGCAAGUUGGAAAGAAAAAUUCUUCGAUAAAAGUUCAGCAUUAGAUUUCUGACAUUUGGUUUUGUUCUGUGACCCAUUUGGCUCGUCAGGGCCAUCUGUGUGACCAUUAGAUGGGACUAUCAUUGAAGCCAUGUUGGGUCUUUGGUGAUAGCACAGAUGGGGCUCACCCAUGAGGUCUGAGUUAUGGCAAUAAUUUCAGAUUCUGUGAAGUUUCUUGUGAAAGUGAAGGAGCAAAUACCCUCAACAGGGAAAGAACUGUUUUUUCCUAAUCCAAAAUGGCUUCAAUUUCAAAUGGUGCAGGGAAGUUGCCGUCACGCAAAGGAUUUGGCCAG
RNAcentral lists this long non-coding RNA (1133 nucleotides) under Mus musculus (house mouse). Its description in RNAcentral is "predicted gene 12610". Lineage: Eukaryota; Metazoa; Chordata; Mammalia; Rodentia; Muridae. The record is from RNAcentral.